RNAcentral lists this ribosomal RNA (429 nucleotides) under Bacteroidota bacterium. Its description in RNAcentral is "Bacteroidetes bacterium partial 16S ribosomal RNA". It matches the Rfam family "Bacterial small subunit ribosomal RNA", at positions 355 to 776 of the family's 1533-position model. Lineage: Bacteria; Pseudomonadati; Bacteroidota. The record is from RNAcentral.
UCGGGAAUCUUCCGCAAUGGACUCAAGUCUGACGGAGCAACGCCGCGUGAGUGAAGAAGGAUUUCGGUUCGUAAAACUCUGUUGUUAGAGAAGAACAGCGCAUAGAGUAACUGUUAUGCGUGUGACGGUAUCUAACCAGAAAGCCACGGCUAACUACGUGCCAGCAGCCGCGGUAAUACGUAGGUGGCAAGCGUUGUCCGGAUUUAUUGGGCGUAAAGCGAGCGCAGGCGGUCAAUUAAGUCUGAUGUGAAAGCCCCCGGCUCAGCCGGGGAGGGUCAUUGGAAACUGGUUGACUUGAGUGCAGAAGAGGAGGGUGGAAUUCCAUGUGUAGCGGUGAAAUGCGUAGAUAUAUGGAAGAACACCAGUGGCGAAGGCGACUCUCUGGUCUGUAACUGACGCUGAGGCUCGAAAGCGUGGGUAGCAAACAGG